Molecule: transfer RNA, 77 nt
Filed under: Bifidobacterium animalis subsp. lactis Bl12
Lineage: Bacteria; Bacillati; Actinomycetota; Actinomycetes; Bifidobacteriales; Bifidobacteriaceae
Description: tRNA-Thr
Rfam family: tRNA (bases 23-77)
About the family: Transfer RNA (tRNA) molecules are approximately 80 nucleotides in length. Their secondary structure includes four short double-helical elements and three loops (D, anti-codon, and T loops).
Source: RNAcentral
GUUGACGUCGAGCGCACGUUGCGCCUCCUUAGCUCAGAUGGCCAGAGCGGCCGCCUUGUAAGCGGCAGGUCGUCGGU